CCAAUAGCGUAUAUUAAAGUUGUUGCAGUUAAAAAGCUCGUAGUUGAAUUUCGGGAUCAAUAUGCUGGUCGUGCCAUUGGUACGUACUAGUAUUAUUGGUUUCUCCUUUCUGAUGAAUCAUGAUGUCAUUAAUUUGAUGUCAUGAGGAAUCAGGACUGUUACUUUGAAAAAAUUAGAGUGUUUAAAGCAGGCUCGCGCUUGAAUACAUUAGCAUGGCAUAAUGAAAUAGGAUGUUUGAUUCUAUUUUGUUGGUUUCUAGGAUUGACGUAAUGAUUAAUAGGGAUAGUUGGGGGCAUUAGUAUUCAAUUGUCAGAGGUGAAAUUCUUGGAUUUAUUGAAGACUAACUACUGCGAAAGCAUUUGCCAAGGAUGUUUUCAUUAAUCAAGAACGAAAGUUAGGGGAUCGAAGACGAUCAGAUACCGUCGUAGUCUUAACCAUAAACUAUGCCGACUAGGGAUCGGAUGAUGUUAAUUUUUUAAUGACUCAUUCGGCGCCUUACG
Molecule: ribosomal RNA, 500 nt
Filed under: uncultured Glomus
Lineage: Eukaryota; Fungi; Glomeromycota; Glomeromycetes; Glomerales; Glomeraceae
Description: SSU rRNA
Rfam family: Eukaryotic small subunit ribosomal RNA
Source: RNAcentral